Long non-coding RNA from Paramisgurnus dabryanus, 756 nucleotides. RefSeq lists it as uncharacterized. Lineage: Eukaryota; Metazoa; Chordata; Actinopteri; Cypriniformes; Cobitidae. The record is from RefSeq and is a predicted model, not a curated record.
GUCAGUUGAUCUGGUUUAAUGUGAUUCGCGCUCUUUAUCCGUUGCAACUUGCUGUCUGAGGUAAAUAAGACGAGAAAGUUGAACCUUGCUCAUUAAAUGGAUAAAAGAAAACCAUGUAAGAGUUGGUUUGGAUAAAUAUGCGAAGGACAAUAAAUGUUAAGUGACCCAAAGACGGUUGGUCUUGUGGACAACGAGGAACAAACCGCCUAAAGGCGGUUGGACAGCGUUUCCAGCACAAAUACUCAACGUGAACGAGAGCCUUGGGUAAAAAAAGGCAGAGUACCAGUGGUUAAAGACACACAAAAUGUGGACAUCAAAACAAAUGGCUACAUUUGCUCGUGAGGAAGAUGAUAACGAAGAGGAUGAGACUCCUUCAAACCAUAAGAUAGUGGAUGAUUCACACUCAACUGCAAAGCAAUGAAAGAACACAUCUGUCACUAAAUUGAACCCAGUCACCUUGGAUUAUGCCCAAAAGUGUAUUACAAGAAACUCACCAGAACUGUGAUGGACUCCAUUUCCACCUUAGAAAAAAUGACAACAUGCUCCGUCACAGGGAAAAAAGGGACCACUGGUGAACAAAGACAGAGUCCUGACAGAGAAAGUGAAGCUAGUAAUAGGGAGCCUGCUGGAAGAGAAUCUGAGGACUGAUGCACAUAUAACAAUGGACAUGCAUAAAGACACAUCUCUAACAAUGGACAUGCAUAAAGACACAUCUCUCUCUCUCUCUCUCUCUCUCUCUCUCUCUCUCUCUCUCUC